This 252-nucleotide ribosomal RNA is filed under the name uncultured bacterium. Its description in RNAcentral is "partial 16S ribosomal RNA". It matches the Rfam family "Bacterial small subunit ribosomal RNA", at positions 524 to 776 of the family's 1533-position model. The record is from RNAcentral.
UACGGAGGAUGCGAGCGUUAUCCGGAUUUAUUGGGUUUAAAGGGUGCGUAGGCGGACUGGAAAGUCAGCGGUAAAAUCGAGAGGCUCAACCUCUUUCCGCCGUUGAAACUGCCGGUCUUGAGUGGGCGAGAAGUAUGCGGAAUGCGUGGUGUAGCGGUGAAAUGCAUAGAUAUCACGCAGAACUCCGAUUGCGAAGGCAGCAUACCGGCGCCCGACUGACGCUGAGGCACGAAAGCGUGGGUAUCGAACAGG